GACGAACGCUGGCGGCGUGCCUAAUACAUGCAAGUCGAGCGGACUGAUUAAGAGCUUGCUCUUAUGACGUUAGCGGCGGACGGGUGAGUAACACGUGGGCAACCUGCCCUGUAGAUCGGGAUAACACCGAGAAAUCGGUGCUAAUACCGGGUAAUAUCUGAGAUCACAUGAUCUUAGGUUAAAAGAUGGCUCCGGCUAUCACUACAGGAUGGGCCCGCGGCGCAUUAGCUAGUUGGUAAGGAAAUGGCUUACCAAGGCGACGAUGCGUAGCCGACCUGAGAGGGUGAUCGGCCACACUGGGACUGAGACACGGCCCAGACUCCUCCGGGAGGCAGCAGUAGGGAAUCUUCCGCAAUGGACGAAAGUCUGACGGGGCAACGCCGCGUGAGUGAUGAAGGGUUUCGGCUCGUAAAGCUCUGUUGUUAGGGAAGAAACAGUACCGAACGAACUAGGUCGGUACCUUGACGGUACCUAACCAGAAAGCCACGGCUAACUACGUG
Molecule: ribosomal RNA, 500 nt
Filed under: uncultured bacterium
Lineage: Bacteria
Description: partial 16S ribosomal RNA
Rfam family: Bacterial small subunit ribosomal RNA
Source: RNAcentral